This 465-nucleotide ribosomal RNA is filed under the name uncultured bacterium. RNAcentral describes it as "partial 16S ribosomal RNA". It matches the Rfam family "Bacterial small subunit ribosomal RNA", at positions 28 to 507 of the family's 1533-position model. The record is from RNAcentral.
GACGAACGCUGGCGGCGUGCUUAACACAUGCAAGUCGAACGGAAAGGCCCCUUUGGGGGUACUCGAGUGGCGAACGGGUGAGUAACACGUGAGUAACCUGCCCUUGACUUCGGGAUAACUUCAGGAAACUGGGGCUAAUACCGGAUAGGAAUCCUUGCUGCAUGGUGGGGGUUGGAAAGCUUCGGCGGUUUUGGAUGGACUCGCGGCUUAUCAGCUUGUUGGUGGGGUAGUGGCUUACCAAGGCUUUGACGGGUAGCCGGCCUGAGAGGGCGACCGGCCACAUUGGGACUGAGAUACGGCCCCGACUCCUACGGGAGGCAGCAGGGGGGAAUAUUGCACAAUGGGCGGAAGCCUGAUGCAGCAACGCCGCGUGCGGGAUGACGGCCUUCGGGUUGGAAACCGCUUUCAGCAGGGGCGAAGCUUGUGGUGACGGUACCUGCAGAAGAAGCACCGGCUAACUACGUG